Molecule: long non-coding RNA, 1050 nt
Filed under: Homo sapiens (human)
Lineage: Eukaryota; Metazoa; Chordata; Mammalia; Primates; Hominidae
Description: HSALNT0093004
Source: RNAcentral
CAAAUGAGAAGAGGAGGAGAGAAAGGUUAGGAGAUUUUCCAAUUCGACACACUCCUGGAGAUAGGAAACAUUAAGCCGCAUUAAAGCCAGUCCCAGCCAGGCUUAAGGAGAGCUGGAAUGGAGAGGAUUCUCAUCUAACAUCUGGGUUGCAGUUGUAUGUUAACAUGGACUUCCUAGGAAGUAACAUAUCAAACAAAAGGGAAAGUGAUCAACCAGCAGCAGGUACCAGCCACAGUUAACUGCACCUGCUAGGAGCUCUGAAAGACUUUUUUUUUUUUUAAACGAAUAAAGAAAUUCUCAUUUCACUCUCCUCCACACUGGACUCGCUGAAGAAAGAGUAGCUGGCUGGAGGAAGCUAUCCAGAGGGAAGCAGCACAGCAUCUAUGCACAGACAUAGCAAAUAAGAGCAAGUGAACCACGCCACACUUACGACUAUGUCAACAAAGGAAUAGAAGCAAAGGAAAAGACUGACAUAGCUUAGACUGGGAAUCCUUCUAGAAAGUAAGAAAGAAUUCAGAGAGAUUCCUCUCUCUAGUCUUGAAGAAAUGAAGGUCUUCAAAAUGAAGAUUGAAGAAAUAUAGAAUAUCUAAAAAAAAAGAAAGAUAAAGUGGUAUAUAUUUUCUUUAAACAAAAAUCAUUAAACCAAAGAUUUGCCUCUUUGACUGUAAUGCCCUCUCCUCUUAGCUAACUCCUUCAUCCUUUUUCACAGUGACUGUUCUUUAGACUCACAACAAUCUCAGUCUUUUGACGCAUCUAGUCUUCCCAUCCAUCUCUCCUUUCUUUCCUUCCUCCUUAGCUGGCUUAGAUUUUAUAGUCCAUUGUUUCAAGAAAACUAUUGGGGAUUAAGCCCAUCUUAUGUAUUUGUACUUCGGAUAACAACCCCACUCACUUUCUCAUAAAAAAAACUAUUGUAUUUUUCUCUGUCUUCUGUAUUCAACCUUUCCUUCUCAACAGGGGUUAUUGUAUUUUCUUAAAAUGUUCAUAUUUCUCUCAUUAAAAUAAAAAUACAAUGAUCAUCACCAAAAAACUCUUGCGUCCACACACACCCAC